RNAcentral lists this ribosomal RNA (301 nucleotides) under uncultured bacterium. RNAcentral describes it as "partial 16S ribosomal RNA". It matches the Rfam family "Bacterial small subunit ribosomal RNA", at positions 509 to 807 of the family's 1533-position model. The record is from RNAcentral.
CAGCCGCCACGGUAAUACGAAGGGGGCUAGCGUUGCUCGGAGUGACUGGGCGUAAAGGGCGCGUAGGCGGAUUGUUUAGUUAGGCGUGAAAUUCCUGGGCUUAACCUGGGGACUGCGCUUAAUACAGGCAGUCUAGAGUGAGGAAGAGGGUUGUGGAAUUCCCAGUGUAGAGGUGAAAUUCGUAGAUAUUGGGAAGAACACCGGUGGCGAAGGCGGCAACCUGGUCCCUGACUGACGCUGAGGCGCGAAAGCGUGGGGAGCAAACAGGAUUAGAUACCCCCGUAGUCCCUGUCUCUUAUAC